Non-coding RNA from Cinara cedri, 208 nucleotides. Lineage: Eukaryota; Metazoa; Arthropoda; Insecta; Hemiptera; Aphididae. The record is from the annotation of a GenBank genome assembly.
UUGUACCAUCUCGUUCAUCCAAUAAUUUUCGUCUCUGCUGCGCUCGUCUUCCGCUCCAUUUCUCCGUCUACCGCCCGACAUUUCGCAUCGCCGGUUUCCCCGGCGCAGUUGUGUAAAAUUUACCUAUCGGCCUCGUCGGUAUUCCAUAUUAUCGCGCGCAGUACCCUUGACGCCGCUCGUCCGAACACGCUUUUUCACCGUGUUUCUC